AGAGUUUGAUCAUGGCUCAGGAUUAACGCUGGCGGCGUGCAUGAAACAUGCAAGUCGAGCGCGGUACGUGGCUUCGGUCACGUAUCUAGCGGCGCACGGGUGAGUAACACGUGAGCAACCUACCUUCGAGUUCGGGAUAGCCCUGGGAAACCAGGAUUAAUACCGGAUGUGGUCACAGAGGGACAUCCCACUGUGAAAAAAGGCGCAAGCCGCUCGAUGACGGGCUCGCGGCCUAUUAGCUUGUUGGUGGGGUAACGGCCUACCAAGGCGACGAUGGGUAGCUGGUCUGAGAGGACGAUCAGCCACACUGGGACUGAGACACGGCCCAGACUCCUACGGGAGGCAGCAGUUAGGAAUUUUCCGCAAUGGGCGAAAGCCUGACGGAGCAACGCCGCGUGUGUGAUGAAGGCCUUCGGGUUGUAAAGCACUGUCGGAGGGGAAGAAUGAAUGACGGUACCCUCCAAGAAAGCCCCGGCUAACUACGUGCCAGCAGCCGCGGUAAUACGUAGGGGGCGAGCGUUAUCCGGAUUUACUGGGCGUAAAGCGCGUUAAGGCGGUUGGCAAAGUUGGUGGUGAAAUUUCAGGGCUCAACCCUGAAACUGCCUCCAAUACUGGUCGACUUGAGUGUGAGAGAGGAAGGUGGAAUUCCCGGUGUAGUAGUGAAAUGCGUAGAUAUCGGGAGGAACACCAGUGGCGAAGGCGGCCUUCUGGCUCACAACUGACGCUGUAGCGCGAAAGCGUGGGGAGCGAACGGGAUUAGAUACCCCGGUAGUCCACGCUGUAAACGAUGUGCACUAGGUGUUGGGCGUAUUGACGCGCUCAGUGCCGCAGCUAACGCAUUAAGUGCACCGCCUGGGGAGUACGGCCGCAAGGUUAAAACUCAAAGGAAUUGACGG
This 896-nucleotide ribosomal RNA is filed under the name uncultured bacterium. RNAcentral describes it as "bacterial SSU rRNA". It matches the Rfam family "Bacterial small subunit ribosomal RNA", at positions 8 to 916 of the family's 1533-position model. The record is from RNAcentral.